AGGUUCCUACGGGAGGGCAGCAGUGGGGAAUAUUGCACAAUGGGGGAAACCCUGAUGCAGCGAUGCCGCGUGGAGGAAGAAGGUUUUCGGAUUGUAAACUCCUUUUAUCAGGGACGAUAAUGACGGUACCUGAAGAAAAAGCUCCGGCUAACUACGUGCCAGCGGCCGCGGUAAUACGUAGGGAGAGAGCGUUGUCCGGAAUUACUGGGUGUAAAGGGAGCGUAGGCGGGACGGCAAGUCAGAUGUGAAAACUGAGGGCUCAACUUUCAGACGGCAUUUGAAACUGCUGUUCUUGAGGGAAGUAG
Molecule: ribosomal RNA, 305 nt
Filed under: uncultured bacterium
Lineage: Bacteria
Description: bacterial SSU rRNA
Rfam family: Bacterial small subunit ribosomal RNA
Source: RNAcentral